This 468-nucleotide ribosomal RNA is filed under the name uncultured bacterium. RNAcentral describes it as "partial 16S ribosomal RNA". It matches the Rfam family "Bacterial small subunit ribosomal RNA", at positions 28 to 507 of the family's 1533-position model. The record is from RNAcentral.
GACGAACGCUGGCGGCGUGCUUAACACAUGCAAGUCGAACGGAAAGGCACUGAUUUUGUGGUCUUCUCGAGUGGCAAACGGGUGAGUAACACGUGAGUAACCUGCCCUAGUCUUUGGGAUAGGUUCAGGAAACUGGGGCUAAUACCGUAUAGGAGCCCCUGCAGCAUGGUGGGGGUUGGAAAGUUUCGGCGUUUGGGGAUGGACUAGCGGCUUAUCGGCUAGUUGGUCGGGGAGUGGCUUACCCAGGCUUGGACGGGUACCCGGCAUGAGAGGGUGGCCGGCCACAAUGGGACUAAGGUAGGGACCAGAGUCCAACAGGAGGCAGCAGUGGCGAGUAUUGACCAAUGGGCGCAAGCGUGAUACAGCAACGCCGCGUGCGGGAUGACGGCAUUCGGGGUGUGAACCGCUUUCGCUUGUGACGACGCGUUAGUGACGGUAAUGUAUAAAGAAGCACCGGCUAACUACGUG